AACUGUGUUAUACUAUUACGGUAAAGAAGUAAAGACGGUGGUUGCGACUUCGAAAGGUGGGUGGUGCCUAUGUGCAUAACCGAUAAAAUCCUAUUGGAAAGGAGCGAUCAACAGUUGUCAAUGUUUGAAGUAUUGACUAUCAUGUUUGUGACUGGUAACUUUGUUAUUUCACUCGUG
Molecule: small RNA, 177 nt
Filed under: Streptococcus salivarius
Lineage: Bacteria; Bacillati; Bacillota; Bacilli; Lactobacillales; Streptococcaceae
Description: Listeria sRNA rli28
Rfam family: Listeria sRNA rli28
Source: RNAcentral